CUUCAAUGCACUCAUAUGGGCCUUCAGGAUUGUCGCGUACGAAGAUUGGAAUCGCUGGUGAUCCUUCGCAGAAAGCGAGGUGGAUAUGGUCUUUUUACCAUUGGUCGCACGAACCAGACAUCUAUACUCCACAACUUCACCCGCAGUCUCCAUUUUCUUUCUAAUCGCCGGUGAUUUCAUCGCCGAGCGCUUCAGCGUCACCCAAACAGACCCACUCGCCGUACUCCUCUCAAACAUGG
RNAcentral lists this unclassified non-coding RNA (239 nucleotides) under Hevea brasiliensis (rubber tree). Lineage: Eukaryota; Viridiplantae; Streptophyta; Magnoliopsida; Malpighiales; Euphorbiaceae. The record is from RNAcentral.